CCUCCCUUGUAUAAAUCCUUGACCUUUUAGUAUAUUAGGCCACUAGGGCAAAAGAGCUCAAUCACCACCAGCGCCGUGGUGGUAUAGAGGAGGGCCUCCACUAUCCUUCAUUCAAUUCAACGUUUUUUUUCCCUUCUUCUCUUUCGUCCUUCCUAUUUAUUAUCUACUAAGCUAUUUUCGAAUACCUACUAGGAAGAAUUCUGCGGCAAGUUUCCACCAACUCUACAAACCUAUGUUCUUAUCUUGGCUGGGUCGACUUUGAUGCUCCCCCUUUGUUCCAGAUGGAGUUAAUGCGAGAAGCUAUCUAUCUAGAUAACAAGCGAUACUUACAGGUUGCCCAGUCCCCUAUGGACCAUCUGAGCCUUGAAUCUAACAUCUAUGAUGAGCUGAGGCAUUGGCGUAUUGCUCCGAGAAAUAUACUAAGAGUCAACAGUUCAACAAAAAAGAAUGCAGGUGUAUGGACAAACGGCUUCCGACCCAGGUAUUUAAAUAUAUAUAGCCGCCCUUCUCUCAAAAAAGAUAGUAGAGAGAAUUUGGAAAAAAAAUAAAGAUACAGCAAAAAUGAGGAAACAUGAUAUAAAACGGAAGGUCAACCAACCAAAGCCCUCAGCUUCGUCAACAUCUUCGAACCCUUCCCAGCCAACAUGCCCCAAAUCCCCAAUAACCCGAUCAUCGUCACCAACCAAGCCCGAUUCGUAAACAGAGACUCCUCCCUCACGCGUCCUAAAUGCUUUUGCUUCUGCUUCACCGCCAGCUGCUGCGCACCAUACCCAUCCAGUAUGAAGUCCGCCCAGCGAACCCUAGACAGUAGCUUCUGAUACUGCACCACAGUCCCGGACCAAUUAUUCGUAACCCGGCCGUCCGCGCGCUUAUACCAGCUGUGGCAAUUCGGGUGCGCAAACGAUGUUGUCCCAAGGACACUCUGCAGCUCGUCGUUAAACGAAUCCAUACGCUUGGGAUCCGGUAAGAUCUUCAGCGACUCGCCCACCUGGCGUGCCUGGAGCACUGCGCUGAUCAUCGCCUGGAUAUACUUCGCCUGCGCCUCGAUCAUGAGGAUGAUAGAGUUGUGGCCCAGGUUCGUGUUGGGGCCGUAGAGCAUGCCGAAGUUGGGGAGGGAUUCGGCGGCGAUGCCGUACAGCGCGCGUGCGCCGCCGGACCAGAUAUCCGAGAGUGCUCGGCCGUUGAUGCCGUAGACUUGGAUCGGGUGCAUGAAUUCGACGGUGCGGAAACCCGUGGCCAGCACGAUGACGUCGAAUUCGUGCGCGGCGCCGUCGACGUUUAUGCCGUUUUCGGUUAUUUCGGUGAUGGGCCUUGUUUCAAGGGUGACGUUGUCGCGCAAGAAAGUUGGAAAGUAAUCGUCGCUAAUGAUGACGCGCUUGCAGCCCAUGGGAUAAUUGGGGACUAGUUUCUCCCACAGCUCCGGACGGUUGGGGAGCUGUUUCUUCAUCAAUGAGAGGCUGAUUGUGCGGGCGCGUACCGCGUAUUCAGAGUUCUGGUCUGCAAUGGCGUCGUGGGAAGACUCUCGCAUGUCCAUCAUCCAACUACGUAGUCUCCAAAGAGAAGGCGGGAAGUAUUGGAAUAAUGCCCUAACAAGUUUAGGGAUGCCAGUGUCUAAUCUGGGUAUCACCCAGUUAGGUGUUCUUUGAAACACAGUCAGUUGAGCGACAUCGGGAGCAAUUACGGGGAUUAUCUGAGCAGCCGUAGCUCCUACAGAAAUGGUCAUCAGCAACAUGGACGCAGAAGACGAGAAACAGGAAGGAAAGAUAUGGGAGAUUUUACCGUUCCCUAUAAUGCCAACACGCUUUCCCUUGAUAUCGUAGGUCCAAUCCCACCGAGCAGAAUGAAUGAUCCUGCCCUGGAAAUCUUCUAUUCCUGGAAUUGGCGGGUAGGAGGGCGAAUUGAGUUGGCCAACGGCAGACACGAGGAAAUCGGAUGUGAGCGUAUAUUGAUCUGCAAAUUCCGCGUCUUUCGAUUCCCCUGCUACCUUGACCACUAUCCGCCAUUUACGGGCGUCAUCGUCCCAUCUAGCUUCUUCAACGGUGGAAUUGAAUCGAAUAUAACGAAACAGCUUGUACUUCUCGGCUACAUCAUGAAGGUACAUCUGUGAUAGCUUUGGUUAGAGCCAAUGAAAAAGAGGGAAAGGAAAAGGAAAAAGAAAAACGAAAAAAGUUGAAAGAAAGCGAAAAAAGCAAGCCUCGUACUAGAAUCUCCUCCUGACUGGGGUAGAGUCUUGACCAGCUCGGGUUCUGUUCGAAAGAGUAGCUAUAAAGAUGAGAAUUGACUGUUGGAUAUUAGCACGGAAUAUCCCCCAUCAAACGAGAGCCGGAGGGGGUGUCCCUCGGAAAGAAGAAGGACAUACUAUCGCAACAGCAGCCUGGAUAUUUGUUAUCACGCCAAGUUCCACCAAGUCCUCCGCUCUUUUCAACAAUUACGAAGUUGUGGAUGUCGUUCUUCAACAAACUGAUGGCCGUGCACAUUCCUAUGCAACCCUGUUGCGUUAGCAAUCGAUUACCCCAUAUACGCGGACAGGGGUACCUUACCAGACAUCCCAGCGCCAAUGAUCACCACAGCGGCCUCCGUAUAGUUCCUGUUGCCCACCUCCACUUGGCGAUAGCGUUUGUUCGAUGCCAUGGCUAUUUUACGCCAAUACACACGGAAGGAAGGAUGGUAGAGUGAAAGGGACAAAGGGGAAGGGGCUUCAAAUAUCCCCGUCGCAAGCGGGUAUAUUUUUUUUGGAAAAUAUUUCAACACGGAGGAGAAAAGAGGUUUCAACAGCGAAAAUCAAGAACUUGAGUUGAGAAUAUGUCGAAGGUAAGAUAGCAAGUUAUCAAGUUAUAAGGAAGCAAAGCCAAGAACGAAGCCCCGUUAUUUCACGGGUGUAAUCGAAACGAGUCCAUCGCCUCAAACUCUUAGUAGAAGUCCUCUCCAAGAUUAGUCUAAUCGUGUACAGUGAGGAACCUUCUAUUCCAACGAGGGAGAGGAAGGGGGGAAAUUACCAGCAUCCGAGGAUGCUGGUGAGCUGCUGGCUCAUUAUGCUAUUUCUAGCCCGAGCCAAGGUUGAAAUGGCUGCGGGGAGCUCACAUUGAUCUCAGCAUAUCUGACAACUGUAAGCAUACCUGGCAGGAUGCCAUUUGGCUGGCCUCCUGGGCUUAAGCGUCAGUGAUUCAAUCAUCACGAUCAACAAACUCGCAAACGCCCUGUGCGCGCGGUUCAUAAGUCCCUGCUCCAUGCCCGUAAGAACAUACGCCAGGCAGCGAUCCCGAUGGGAACCGGGUUGAUAUGUAUGGCAGGGCAGAGCAUGGCAGAGCACGGCAGACAUCUCCAUGCUCUGCUCGACCCACCAAUGGUGGAAUCCGGGGCCGGAUAUCGUGAUAAUAGAGUUUCGUAUCCGAUCGAGCGGGGAGCGAGCCCGAGCCGAGGCAGCAAUUCCCACCGAUUAUAAUAAGCCGCGCAAUCCAACGCGGAGGAACAGGCAAGGAGGAUGAAUUCACAAAUCUGGACAAAGCCACAACAUCUUUCAUGGGCGAACUUGGAUACUUGUGCCACCGUACUGCUUUGAGUAUGGGAAGUUAUUUAUUGUGUUUGUCCUGAUUGUCCUUAGAUAAUCAGAUGCAUUUGUAGCACUCUACUCUUCAGAACAUCGACCCGCGCACUUCGCCUUGAGGCCUCGAGCUACCUAAGUACUUGUAACUUCAUCGGGAUGGGAGGGAGAGGCUAAGUGAAAGGUGCUUGGGGCCGGAGGAAAAAAAAGAAAAAAUCAGAAGAAAAGCAAAAAGAAGAAACGCUGAAAACGUAAGUGCUACAUACUGUAAAUACAUACAUAUAUCAUCCAUCCAAAUUCCCCAACCCGAUACGGCAGCCCCGCCAGGAGUAAGGUUGGGAGAAGGUUUGAUAGAUGUUUAUCGGGAGGGCCAUAGUUUGGAGAUAAUCAUGGUGGAGUAAUAAUGAGUAUAUGAGCUCAGCACAGAUACUUCGCGGCACUGGGAAACAAUACCAGAUCAGGACAAAGGGGGUUGUAGUUAAAAAAAAAAAAGAAACUGAAACGGAAAGAAAAGCUCUCAACAAAAAUAACAGGGAAAAGGCGAAAGCAAGAACAAAGGGGGAAAGGAUAUAUAUAAAAUAGUGGAUAAAAGCCCCUAACAACGCUAUGCUAAUGCUAAAAACUGAUGUGAGAAGAAUAAUUGUGAAGGAGUAGAAUUACUUCUCUUGGUACUUUUUGGGGUCUCCUUUGUUUUAAAAGAACAUUAAGAAAUUAAGAAAUUAAGAAAUGAAAUUGGUUUCUUUUUAAGGGCAGCGGAAAUAACCUUAACAUAAGUGCAUUUCGAAGGGGGUAGUCGUACAGUCAGGUCAGUGAUUCAUGAAAAUCCAGACAGUUCAGAGUAUUCGAUUCAAAUCGCUCGAAAAAAAAACCAUUGAGUUUUCUCGUUCGCGCGGUUCUCGCUAUUUGGGUUUUCGCCAGUAAUAUCGCUUGUGUUGUUUUCUGCAACUCCGCAGGCCAGGUUUCAUCAAGUCGUUAACUACAGCCUCCUUUCUCUUUUCAUCCUCGUCG
This 4549-nucleotide small RNA is filed under the name Histoplasma capsulatum. Its description in RNAcentral is "hypothetical RNA". The record is from RNAcentral. Lineage: Eukaryota; Fungi; Ascomycota; Eurotiomycetes; Onygenales; Ajellomycetaceae. RNAcentral also lists the same sequence under 1 other name.